CCUACGGGGGGCUGCAGUGGGGAAUAUUGCACAAUGGGGGAAACCCUGAUGCAGCAACGCCGCGUGAGUGAUGACGGUCUUCGGAUUGUAAAGCUCUGUCUUCAGGGACGAUAAUGACGGUACCUGAGGAGGAAGCCACGGCUAACUACGUGCCAGCAGCCGCGGUAAUACGUAGGUGGCAAGCGUUGUCCGGAUUUACUGGGCGUAAAGGGAGCGUAGGUGGAUAUUUAAGUGGGAUGUGAAAUACUCGGGCUUAACCUGGGUGCUGCAUUCCAAACUGGAUAUCUAGAGUGCAGGAGAGGAAAGUAGAAUUCCUAGUGUAGCGGUGAAAUGCGUAGAGAUUAGGAAGAAUACCAGUGGCGAAGGCGACUUUCUGGACUGUAACUGACACUGAGGCUCGAAAGCGUGGGGAGCAAACAGGAUUAGAUACCCCGGUAGUC
This 440-nucleotide ribosomal RNA is filed under the name Clostridioides difficile. RNAcentral's name for it is "bacterial SSU rRNA". It matches the Rfam family "Bacterial small subunit ribosomal RNA", at positions 338 to 795 of the family's 1533-position model. The record is from RNAcentral. Lineage: Bacteria; Bacillati; Bacillota; Clostridia; Peptostreptococcales; Peptostreptococcaceae.